CUUGGCUGUUUGUCUUUUUCAUUUUACCUUGUAAAUCCAAGACAAAGGAUUCCAUUCGACCAUGUUUACAGCAAGGCACUGCAAAGUUGGUUUU
Molecule: long non-coding RNA, 94 nt
Organism: Neltuma alba
Lineage: Eukaryota; Viridiplantae; Streptophyta; Magnoliopsida; Fabales; Fabaceae
Exons: 3
Source: RefSeq, a predicted model, not a curated record